This 484-nucleotide ribosomal RNA is filed under the name uncultured bacterium. RNAcentral's name for it is "partial 16S ribosomal RNA". It matches the Rfam family "Bacterial small subunit ribosomal RNA", at positions 30 to 507 of the family's 1533-position model. The record is from RNAcentral.
AUUGAACGCUGGCGGCAGGCCUAACACAUGCAAGUCGAGCGGAUGAAGGGAGCUUGCUCCUGGAUUCAGCGGCGGACGGGUGAGUAAUGCCUAGGAAUCUGCCCGGUAGUGGGGGAUAACGUCCGGAAACGGGCGCUAAUACCGCAUACGUCCUGAGGGAGAAAGUGGGGGAUCUUCGGACCUCACGCUAUCAGAUGAGCCUAGGUCGGAGUAGCCAGUUGGUGGGGUAAAGGCCUACCAAGGCGACGAUCCGUAACUGGUCUGAGAGGAUGAUCAGUCACACUGGAACUGAGACACGGUCCAGACUCCUACGGGAGGCAGCAGUGGGGAAUAUUGGACAAUGGGCGAAAGCCUGAUCCAGCCAUGCCGCGUGUGUGAAGAAGGUCUUCGGAUUGUAAAGCACUUUAAGUUGGGAGGAAGGGCAGUAAGUUAAUACCUUGCUGUUUUGACGUUACCAACAGAAUAAGCACCGGCUAACUUCGUG